Molecule: ribosomal RNA, 550 nt
Filed under: uncultured bacterium
Lineage: Bacteria
Description: partial 16S ribosomal RNA
Rfam family: Bacterial small subunit ribosomal RNA
Source: RNAcentral
UGAGGAAUAUUGGUCAAUGGGCGAGAGCCUGAACCAGCCAAAUCGCGUGAAGGAAGACUGCCUUAUGGGUUGUAAACUUCUUUUAUACAGGAAUAAAAAAGGGGACGUGUCCCUUAUUGCAUGUACUGUAUGAAUAAGCAUCGGCUAACUCCGUGCCAGCAGCCGCGGUAAUACGGAGGAUGCGAGCGUUAUCCGGAUUUAUUGGGUUUAAAGGGUGCGCAGGCGGGCUUUUAAGUCAGCGGUGAAAUCUCGGGGCUUAACUCCGAAACUGCCGUUGAAACUGGGAGUCUUGAGUAUGGAUGAAGUAGGCGGAAUUCGUUGUGUAGCGGUGACAUGCUUAGAUAUAACGAGGAACUCCGAUUGCGUAGGCAGCUUACUAAGCCAUAACUGACGCUCAAGCACGAAAGCGUGGGGAUCAAACAGGAUUAGAUACCCUGGUAGUCCACGCCGUAAACGAUGAUUACUAGUUGUAUGCGAUAUACCGUAUGUGACUAAGCGAAAGCGAUAAGUAAUCCACCUGGGGAGUACGCCGGCAACGGUGAAACUUAAA